CUAGGGUCAUUUAGAGGAAGUAAAAGUCGUAACAAGGUUUCCGUAGGUGAACCUGCGGAAGGAUCAUUACAAAUCGGUUCGGUUGGUUUGUGGGGGGGGCUCCACUGUGGACCCUCACUGAGAAAUCCUCACUGAGAAUCUUCACUGGACACCCCACUGCGGCUGACACAUUAGCACAGGGCCGCAAGGCCUUGAUGUUUACGCUUGCAUGUUUGACAGAGUUAAAUUGUGACCUUAAAUGACAACUUUUAACAACGGAUCUCUUGGCUCUUGCAACGAUGAAGAACGCAGUAAAGUGCGAUAUGUAGUGCGAUUUGCAUGAAUCUGUGAGUCAUCUAAUCUUUGAACGCAACUUGCGCCUCGCCGAGGCAUGUCUGUUUGAGCGCCGCAUACUCUAUGCAGCAAUGCGAUGUGGUCCAUGUCGACUAGACUGGGCCUAAACGGAGCCAGAGAAUGGUCGGCGAGACUAGCCCGAGUGCUAAGCUAAGCAUUGCAUUCUUGGGCCUGGCUCGACGGCCACAAUCUAUCAUCUAUUGGCCUCAAAUCAGGCAAGACUACCCGCUGAACUUAAGCAUAUCAAUAAGCGGAGGAA
Molecule: ribosomal RNA, 592 nt
Filed under: uncultured fungus
Lineage: Eukaryota; Fungi
Description: eukaryotic LSU rRNA
Rfam family: 5.8S ribosomal RNA (bases 244-388)
Source: RNAcentral